RNAcentral lists this ribosomal RNA (234 nucleotides) under uncultured bacterium. RNAcentral describes it as "partial 16S ribosomal RNA". It matches the Rfam family "Bacterial small subunit ribosomal RNA", at positions 1267 to 1500 of the family's 1533-position model. The record is from RNAcentral.
GCCAACCACAGAAAGACCAUCUCAGUUCGGAUUGUAGUCUGNAACCCGACUACAUGAAGCUGGAAUCGCUAGUAAUCGCAGAUCAGAAUGCUGCGGUGAAUACGUUCCCGGGUCUUGUACACACCGCCCGUCACACCAUGGGAGUUGGAAAUGCCCGAAGCCAGUGACCCAACCGUAAGGAGGGAGCUGUCGAAGGUGGAGCCGAUGACUGGGGUGAAGUCGUAACAAGGUAGC